UGCAGUCGAGCGGACAGAAGGGAGCUUGCUCCCGGAUGUUAGCGGCGGACGGGUGAGUAACACGUGGGUAACCUGCCUGUAAGACUGGGAUAACUCCGGGAAACCGGAGCUAAUACCGGAUAGUUCCUUGAACCGCAUGGUUCAAGGAUGAAAGACGGUUUCGGCUGUCACUUACAGAUGGACCCGCGGCGCAUUAGCUAGUUGGUGAGGUAACGGCUCACCAAGGCGACGAUGCGUAGCCGACCUGAGAGGGUGAUCGGCCACACUGGGACUGAGACACGGCCCAGACUCCCUACGGGAGGCAGCAGUAGGGAAUCUUCCGCAAUGGACGAAAGUCUGACGGAGCAACGCCGCGUGAGUGAUGAAGGUUUUCGGAUCGUAAAGCUCUGUUGUUAGGGAAGAACAAGUGCAAGAGUAACUGCUUGCACCUUGACGGUACCUAACCAGAAAGCCACGGCUAACUACGUGCCAGCAGCCGCGGUAAUACGUAGGUGGCAAGCGUUGUCCGGAAUUAUUGGGCGUAAAGGGCUCGCAGGCGGUUUCUUAAGUCUGAUGUGAAAGCCCCCGGCUCAACCGGGGAGGGUCAUUGGAAACUGGGAAACUUGAGUGCAGAAGAGGAGAGUGGAAUUCCACGUGUAGCGGUGAAAUGCGUAGAGAUGUGGAGGAACACCAGUGGCGAAGGCGACUCUCUGGUCUGUAACUGACGCUGAGGAGCGAAAGCGUGGGGAGCGAACAGGAUUAGAUACCCUGGUAGUCCACGCCGUAACGAUGAGUGCUAAGUGUUAGGGGGUUUCCGCCCCUUAGUGCUGCAGCUAACGCAUUAAGCACUCCGCCUGGGGAGUACGGUCGCAAGACUGAACUCAAAGGAAUUGACGGGGGCCCGCACAAGCGGUGGAGCAUGUGGUUUAAUUCGAAGCAACGCGAAGAACCUUACCAGGUCUUGACAUCCUCUGACAACCCUAGAGAUAGGGCUUUCCCUUCGGGGACAGAGUGACAGGUGGUGCAUGGUUGUCGUCAGCUCGUGUCGUGAGAUGUUGGGGUUAAGUCCCGCAACGAGCGCAACCCUUGAUCUUAGUUGCCAGCAUUUAGUUGGGCACUCUAAGGUGACUGCCGGUGACAAACCGGAGGAAGGUGGGGAUGACGUCAAAUCAUCAUGCCCCUUAUGACCUGGGCUACACACGUGCUACAAUGGACAGAACAAAGGGCUGCGAGACCGCAAGGUUUAGCCAAUCCCACAAAUCUGUUCUCAGUUCGGAUCGCAGUCUGCAACUCGACUGCGUGAAGCUGGAAUCGCUAGUAAUCGCGGAUCAGCAUGCCGCGGUGAAUACGUUCCCGGGCCUUGUACACACCGCCCGUCACACCACGAGAGUUUGCAACACCCGAAGUCGGUGAGGUAACCUUUAUGGAGCCAGCCGCCGAAGGUGGGGCAGAUGAUUGGGUGA
Molecule: ribosomal RNA, 1442 nt
Filed under: Bacillus altitudinis
Lineage: Bacteria; Bacillati; Bacillota; Bacilli; Caryophanales; Bacillaceae
Description: bacterial SSU rRNA
Rfam family: Bacterial small subunit ribosomal RNA
Source: RNAcentral